This 253-nucleotide ribosomal RNA is filed under the name uncultured bacterium. RNAcentral's name for it is "partial 16S ribosomal RNA". It matches the Rfam family "Bacterial small subunit ribosomal RNA", at positions 524 to 776 of the family's 1533-position model. The record is from RNAcentral.
UACGAAGGGUCCAAGCGUUAUCCGGAUUUAUUGGGUUUAAAGGGUGCGUAGGCGGCUUAUUAAGUCAGUGGUGAAAGCCUUCAGCUUAACUGAAGAAUUGCCAUUGAUACUGAUGAGCUUGAGUAUAUUUGAGGCCGGCGGAAUGUGUCAUGUAGCGGUGAAAUGCUUAGAUAUGACACAGAACACCGAUUGCGAAGGCAGCUGGCUAAACUAUAACUGACGCUGAUGCACGAAAGCGUGGGGAGCAAACAGG